Molecule: ribosomal RNA, 408 nt
Filed under: uncultured bacterium
Lineage: Bacteria
Description: bacterial SSU rRNA
Rfam family: Bacterial small subunit ribosomal RNA
Source: RNAcentral
AGCGAACGCUGGCGGCGUGCUUAACACAUGCAAGUCGAGCGAAGGUGUUUCAAGGGUAACCUUGAGAUACACUUAGCGGCGGACGGGUGAGUAAUACGUGGAUAACUUACCUCUAGGCCUGGGAUAACCCCGGGAACUGGGGCUAAUACCUGAUAAGACCACAUUGUCUACGGACAAAGGGGUAAAAGGUGGCUGUGCAAACAGCUAUCGCCAAAAGAUAGGUUCACGUCCCAUCAGGCAGUUGGUGAGGUAAUGGCUCACCAAACCAAAGACGGGUAGCCGGCCUUGGCGGGUGAACGGCCACACGGGGACUGAGACACGGCCCCGACUCCUACGGGAGGGCAGCAGUGGGGAAUAUUGGGCAAUGGGCGCAAGCCUGACCCAGCGACGUCGCGUUGGGAAGAAGCC